CCUUGGCCUUGGGAUUCCAAGGCAUUUCCUCGGGGUGACCAGCCCUGAACGCAGAGGACUCACCAUGGAGUUGGGGCUGAGCUGGGUUUUCCUUGUUGCUGUUUUAGGAGGUGUCCAGUGUGAGGUGCAGUUGGUGGAGUCUGGGGGAGGCUUGGUCCAGCCUGGAGGGUCCCUGAGACUCUCCUGUGCAGCCUCUGGAUUCACCUUCAGCAGCUACUGGAUGAGCUGGGUCCGCCAGGCUCCGGGAAAGGGGCCGGAGUGGGUUUCAGACAUUUCUGGUAGUACCAUAUACUACGCAGAUUCCGUGAAGGGCCGAUUCACCGUCUCCAGAGACGACGCCAAGAACUCGCUGUCUCUGCAAAUGGACAGCCUGAGAGCCGAGGACACGGCCGUGUAUUACUGUGCGAGAGAGAGACACGGUGCGGGGAGGUCAGUGUGA
This is a non-coding RNA of Rhinopithecus roxellana (golden snub-nosed monkey), 439 nucleotides long. The record is from the annotation of a RefSeq genome assembly. NCBI's taxonomy places the organism in Eukaryota, Metazoa, Chordata, Mammalia, Primates, Cercopithecidae.